RNAcentral lists this long non-coding RNA (1074 nucleotides) under Cyanistes caeruleus (blue tit). RNAcentral describes it as "lncRNA (ENSCCEG00000005293.1)". The record is from RNAcentral. Lineage: Eukaryota; Metazoa; Chordata; Aves; Passeriformes; Paridae.
UUCCUCCUCCCCACAGCUCCAGGAACCCUGGGACACGGAACCUUCUGGAAAGGAGCCGGGGGGUCCCAGCGGGGGCUCCCCCCACCCUGAGCCCCCAAACCCCGGGGGGGACCUUGGGGAGGGUCCCCAAAAUCCCCCCGAAUCCGAGCCCCCCCCCAGCUCCUGAGGUGGCUUUGGUGUCACUGUCCCCUCCCUUGGGGACAAUUCCUCACCCCCACCUCAAAAAAAAGGGAAAUAAAGGUUUGGGAAUGCAAGAAAUCCUUGGAAUGAGCCCAAAUCCGGUUGGGAUUUAGGGCCCUGGUCCCGAGGGGGGUUUCUUAAUCGGGAAGUUAAUUGGGAUGGGACCCAAAAAUUCCAACCAGAUUUUAUUUCCUCCCCCAAAAUCCCGGAUUUUGCCAGCAGGAUCCGUCCCCACGCGGGGCUGGGGCAGGAAUUGGGGACGGAGCGGGGAAGGUUCCCCUUUCCAAAAGUUAAAAAUCCUUUAAAUACAGCCCCAAAACGGGCAAAUUUCCCUUUUUAUUCCCCGAAUGGCAGAGGAGAAUCCCAUUCCAGGGCUGUGGGGAGAAGGGACGAGAGGCGGGGCUGGAGGAUCACAGCUGCUUUAUUCCAGAAGAAUUCAUCCAGACCCGGAAAAAUCCCGUUCCCACCGGGAAAACCGGGAAGGUUUCGGCGUUUUGGGGAAUUUUUCCUUCCAGAAUUGGCUGAAUCAUGGAAUUCCCACGGGGUUGAGGAAGCCCGAGGGGGGGGUGGCAGCAGGGGUGGCAGCGAGAUGUCACCUGUCACCCACCCCCGUGGGGCGCUGCCUCAAUGGAGCUCCUUGUCCCGCUGAGAUCCCACCCCAUUCCCAAUCCCACUCGUGGGGACACAGAUCCUGCAUUGUCCCGGCCUUGGGGACACUCUGGGGACACUGGGGACACCCUGGGGACACCGGGGGGACACCCUGGGGACACCUCCCUGAGCCCUGGGACACCCCGGGGACAGCGCGGGGACACCCUGGGGACACUUCCUGAGCCCCGGUGACACCCUGGGGACACCCUGGGGACACUUCCUGAGCCCCGGUGACACCCUGGUGAC